AGAGUUUGAUCCUGGCUCAGAUUGAACGCUGGCGGAAUGCUUUACACAUGCAAGUCGAACGGUAGAGGGGGCAACCCCUUGAGAGUGGCGAACGGGUGAGUAAUAUAUCGGAACGUGCCCAGUCGUGGGGGAUAACGUAGCGAAAGUUACGCUAAUACCGCAUACGAUCUAAGGAUGAAAGCGGGGGACUCGCAAGAGCCUCGCGCGAUUGGAGCGGCCGAUAUCAGAUUAGGUAGUUGGUGAGGUAAAGGCUCACCAAGCCAACGAUCUGUAGCUGGUCUGAGAGGACGACCAGCCACACUGGAACUGAGACACGGUCCAGACUCCUACGGGAGGCAGCAGUGGGGAAUUUUGGACAAUGGACGCAAGUCUGAUCCAGCCAUUCCGCGUGCAGGAUGAAGGCCCUCGGGUUGUAAACUGCUUUUGUACGGAACGAAAAGGUUUGUCUUAAUACGAUGAGCCCAUGACGGUACCGUAAGAAUAAGCACCGGCUAACUACGUGCCAGCAGCCGCGGUAAUACGUAGGGUGCAAGCGUUAAUCGGAAUUACUGGGCGUAAAGCGCGCGUAGGUGGUUAGUUAAGUUGGAUGUGAAAUCCCCGGGCUCAACCUGGGAACUGCAUUCAAAACUGACUGACUAGAGUAUGGUAGAGGGUGGUGGAAUUUCCUGUGUAGCGGUGAAAUGCGUAGAUAUAGGAAGGAACACCAGUGGCGAAG
Molecule: ribosomal RNA, 715 nt
Filed under: uncultured Comamonadaceae bacterium
Lineage: Bacteria; Pseudomonadati; Pseudomonadota; Betaproteobacteria; Burkholderiales; Comamonadaceae
Description: bacterial SSU rRNA
Rfam family: Bacterial small subunit ribosomal RNA
Source: RNAcentral